CCCAUGGCGAAUUCCAUGGCACUGUCAAGGCUGAGAAUGGGAAGCUUGUCAUUAAUGGAAAGCUAGAUCCUACCAAAAUCAAAUAGGGCGAUACUGGCACUGAGUACAUUGUGGAGUCCAUCAGUGUCUUCACUACCAUGGAGAAGGUUGGGGCUUGCUUUCAGAGGGGAGCCAAAAGGGCCAUCAUCUCUGCCCCAGCUGCUAACGUCCCCAGGUUUCUGAUGGAUGUGAGCCAUGAGAAGUAUGACAACAGGUUCAAGAUCAUCAGCAAUGACUCCUGUACCACCAACUGUUUAGCACCCCUGUCCAAGGUCAUCCAUGACAAUUUUGGUAUCGUGGAAGGACUCGUGAUCAUGGUGCACACCAUCACUGCCAGCCAGAAGACUUUGGAUAGCCCCUCUGGGAAGCUGUGGCAUGACGAUCACAGGUCUCUCCAGAAUAUCAUCCCCGCAUCUACUGGUGCUGCCAAGGCUGUGGGUGAGGUCAUCCUUGCCCAAAUGCAAGGACCCUAUAAAUCCCCAAUGGAAUAAAUCCUCUGGAAGCACUUUCCUUUCUUAUGGCACUCUGCACAUUUACUGUGCACAGCACCUAACAUGUCUCAUAUUUCAUCUCCCCCACUGGACCACUAAACUGGGAGCAGAAAUGGAAAAUUGGAAGUAUUAGUCCUGGGUCCAGCCUGCAGACUUGUUUUGUUAGUUUGCAUGCUUUUCCCCCCACAAAGUUUAAUUUAUUUAAAAAAUUAUAACCUAUGAUAAACAUACAGAAAAUUUGAGAAAAUGGUA
Molecule: long non-coding RNA, 782 nt
Organism: Homo sapiens (human)
Lineage: Eukaryota; Metazoa; Chordata; Mammalia; Primates; Hominidae
Source: Ensembl